This 497-nucleotide ribosomal RNA is filed under the name uncultured bacterium. RNAcentral describes it as "partial 16S ribosomal RNA". It matches the Rfam family "Bacterial small subunit ribosomal RNA", at positions 28 to 507 of the family's 1533-position model. The record is from RNAcentral.
GAUGAACGCUGGCGGCGUGCCUAAUACAUGCAAGUCGAGCGAACAGAUGAGGAGCUUGCUCCUCUGACGUUAGCGGCGGACGGGUGAGUAACACGUGGAUAACCUACCUAUAAGACUGGGAUAACUUCGGGAAACCGGAGCUAAUACCGGAUAAUAUAUUGAACCGCAUGGUUCAAUAGUGAAAGACGGUUUUGCUGUCACUUAUAGAUGGAUCCGCGCCGCAUUAGCUAGUUGGUAAGGUAACGGCUUACCAAGGCAACGAUACGUAGCCGACCUGAGAGAGUGAUCGGCCACACUGGAACGGAGACACGGUCCAGACUCCUACGGGAGGCAGCAGUAGGGAAUCUUCCGCAAUGGGCGAAAGCCUGACGGAGCAACGCCGCGUGAGUGAUGAAGGUCUUCGGAUCGUAAAACUCUGUUAUUAGGGAAGAACAAAUGUGUAAGUAACUAUGCACGUCUUGACGGUACCUAAUCAGAAAGCCACGGCUAACUACGUG